Molecule: ribosomal RNA, 547 nt
Filed under: Prionalpheus triarticulatus
Lineage: Eukaryota; Metazoa; Arthropoda; Malacostraca; Decapoda; Alpheidae
Description: partial large subunit ribosomal RNA
Rfam family: Bacterial large subunit ribosomal RNA
Source: RNAcentral
GUCUUUGUGGAUUUAUAUACAAAGUCUGGCCUGCCCACUGAUAAUUUUUUUGAAUGGCUGCGGUAUUUUGACCGUGCGAAGGUAGCAUAGUCACUAGUCUUUUAAUUGAAGGCUUGAAUGAAAGGUCGGACGGGAAGAAACCUGUCUUAGUUUAAUAAAUUGAAUUUAACUUUUAUGUGAAAAGGCAUGAAUAAGUUGAAGGGACGAUAAGACCCUAUAAAACUUAAUAUUUUAUGCUGCUUAUUAGAAUUAUUGGUGUAAUUAGUGGUAAGAUAAAAAUAUUAUGUUGGGGCGACAGAGAUAGAAGUUAUUAGAAUUAACUGUCUAUAGAAUAAAAUAAAUUUAAUUAGAAAAUGACCCUGAAUUUUGGUGCAUAAGUAAAAGUUACUUUAGGGAUAACAGCGUGAUUACUCUUGAGAGUCCAAAUUAACAGAGAUAGUUGCGACCUCGAUGUUGAAUUAAUAUUUCUCCUGGGGGCAGAAUAUCAGGAAGUAGGUCUGUUCGACCUUUAAUUAUAUUACAUGAUUUGAGUUCAAACCGGUGUGAG